CGAUCCGGUGACGGAUGGGCAUGCGUGACAUUAGCUAGUCGGCGGGGUAACGGCCCACCGAGGCGACGAUGUCUAGGGGUUCUGAGAGGAAGGUCCCCCACACUGGUACUGAGACACGGACCAGACUCCUACGGGAGGCAGCAGUGAGGAAUAUUGGUCAAUGGGCUUACGCCUGAACCAGCCAAGUCGCGUGAGGGAAGACUGCCCUAUGGGUUGUAAACCUCUUUUGUCAGGGAGCAACGCCGGCUACGUGUAGCCGGACUGAGAGUACCUGAAGAAAAAGCAUCGGCUAACUCCGUGCCAGCAGCCGCGGUAAUACGGAGGAUGCGAGCGUUAUCCGGAUUUAUUGGGUUUAAAGGGUGCGUAGGCGGAAUGCCAAGUCAGCGGUAAAAUCGCGGGGCUCAACCUCGCUCCGCCGUUGAAACUGGCGUUCUUGAGUGGGCGAGAAGUAUGCGGAAUGCGUGGUGUAGCGGUGAAAUGCAUAGAUAUCACGCAGAACUCCGAUUGCGAAGGCAGCAUACCGGCGCCCAACUGACGCUGAAGCACGAAAGCGUGGGUAUCGAACAGGAUUAGAUACCCUGGUAGUCCACGCAG
RNAcentral lists this ribosomal RNA (594 nucleotides) under uncultured bacterium. Its description in RNAcentral is "bacterial SSU rRNA". It matches the Rfam family "Bacterial small subunit ribosomal RNA", at positions 211 to 802 of the family's 1533-position model. The record is from RNAcentral.